RNAcentral lists this ribosomal RNA (844 nucleotides) under uncultured Bacillota bacterium. RNAcentral's name for it is "bacterial SSU rRNA". It matches the Rfam family "Bacterial small subunit ribosomal RNA", at positions 58 to 879 of the family's 1533-position model. The record is from RNAcentral. Lineage: Bacteria; Bacillati; Bacillota.
CAAGUCGAACGCGAAAGUGGAGCAAUCCAUGAGUAGAGUGGCAAACGGGUGAGUAACGCGUGGGUGACCUGCCUUCGAGCGGGGGAUAACGUUUCGAAAGGAACGCUAAUACCGCAUGACAUCCUGCCUUUGAAGAGGUGGAGAUCAAAGCUGGGGAUCGCAAGACCUAGCGCUUGAAGAGGGGCCCGCGUCUGAUUAGCUAGUUGGUGAGGUAACGGCUCACCAAGGCGACGAUCAGUAUCCGGCCUGAGAGGGCGGACGGACACACUGGGACUGAGACACGGCCCAGACUCCUACGGGAGGCAGCAGUGGGGAAUUGUUCGCAAUGGGCGCAAGCCUGACGACGCAACGCCGCGUGGAGGAUGAAGACCUUCGGGUCGUAAACUCCUUUCGAUCGAGACGAAAGACUUCCGGGUGAACAAUCCGGGAGAGUGACGGUACCGAGAGAAGAAGCCCCGGCUAACUCCGUGCCAGCAGCCGCGGUAAUACGGGGGGGGCAAGCGUUGUUCGGAAUUACUGGGCGUAAAGGGCUCGUAGGCGGCCAACUAAGUCAGACGUGAAAUCCCUCGGCUUAACCGGGGAACUGCGUCUGAUACUGGAUGGCUUGAGGUUGGGAGAGGGAUGCGGAAUUCCAGGUGUAGCGGUGAAAUGCGUAGAUAUCUGGAGGAACACCGGUGGCGAAGGCGGCAUCCUGGACCAAUUCUGACGCUGAGUGAGCGAAAGCCAGGGGAGCAAACGGGAUUAGAUACCCCGGUAGUCCUGGCCCUAAACGAUGAAUGCUUGGUGUGGCGGGUAUCGAUCCCUGCCGUGCCGAAGCUAACGCAUUAAGCAUUCCGCCUGGGGA